RNAcentral lists this ribosomal RNA (423 nucleotides) under uncultured bacterium. Its description in RNAcentral is "bacterial SSU rRNA". It matches the Rfam family "Bacterial small subunit ribosomal RNA", at positions 356 to 774 of the family's 1533-position model. The record is from RNAcentral.
UGGGGAUUUUUCGCAAUGGGGCAACCCUGACGAAGCAAUGCCGCGUGGAUGAAGAAGGCCUUCGGGUUGUAAAGUCCUUUCGUGGAGGACGAAAAGGUGGUUCUAAUACAAUCCGCUAUUGACGUGAAUCCAAGAAGAAGCACCGGCUAACUCCGUGCCAGCAGCCGCGGUAAUACGGGGGUGCAAGCGUUAAUCGGAACCACUGGGCGUAAAGGAUGCGUAGGCGGUACGAUAGGUCUGUCGUGAAAUCCCCGGGCUCAACCCGGGAAUGGCGGUAGAAACCGGCGCACUAGAGUAUGGGGAGAGGGUGGUGGAAUUCCAGGUGUAGCGGUGAAAUGCGUAGAUAUCUGGAGGAACAUCAGUGGCGAAGGCGCCACCUGGCCCAAUACUGACGCUGAGGCACGAAAGCGUGGGGAGCAAACA